This 407-nucleotide ribosomal RNA is filed under the name bacterium enrichment culture clone ALO1_GLFRUDD03GWLPA. RNAcentral's name for it is "bacterial SSU rRNA". It matches the Rfam family "Bacterial small subunit ribosomal RNA", at positions 9 to 416 of the family's 1533-position model. The record is from RNAcentral.
GAGUUUGAUCUUGGCUCAGAUUGAACGCUGGCGGCAUGCCUUACACAUGCAAGUCGAACGGCAGCACGGGAGCUUGCUCCUGGUGGCGAGUGGCGAACGGGUGAGUAAUGCAUCGGAACGUAUCCUGGAGUGGGGGAUAACGUAGCGAAAGUUACGCUAAUACCGCAUAUUCUGUGAGCAGGAAAGCGGGGGACCUUCGGGCCUCGCGCUCUUGGAGCGGCCGAUGUCGGAUUAGCUAGUUGGUGAGGUAAAGGCUCACCAAGGCGACGAUCCGUAGCAGGUCUGAGAGGAUGAUCUGCCACACUGGAACUGAGACACGGUCCAGACUCCUACGGGGGGCAGCAGUGGGGAAUUUUGGACAAUGGGGGCAACCCUGAUCCAGCCAUGCCGCGUGAGUGAAGAAGGCC